This 820-nucleotide long non-coding RNA is filed under the name Oryzias javanicus (javanese ricefish). RNAcentral describes it as "lncRNA (ENSOJAG00000021929.1)". The record is from RNAcentral. Lineage: Eukaryota; Metazoa; Chordata; Actinopteri; Beloniformes; Adrianichthyidae.
AUGUCCUGCAGCACAGUCCGGGCGAGCGGAGAGAAGACAGCGGAGCUGCAGACAGGCAGCGGGGCUGCACGCGCGGCGCGGCGCGGCGUGGCGCUGCGCCCGGACCAGAGGCGCGGCUGUCGGCUGGAGAGCGCGCGGACUACCGGAGCUAUGGAGCGCAGCUGUGCGCGGAUGGGAGCCGGCGCCGGGAGCGCUAAACCCAGACUGACCAACGCCGCCUGUUCGGAUGAAGAGAAAGUCGGAUAUAGAGGAGUUAGGGACGAGCAUCCUGUUUAGAAUUUCUGCCGAGGAAGACGAGAAGAGGACAACUCCCAAAACUGGCAGAUCCAUCCCGACCUGGUGUAGCGGGGGGCUUACAAGUGGUCCGAGGGAGCCGCCCCACUAGUUUCUCCUUUUUUUUUGUCCCCCUCUUUUUUCCCUCCAAACAACGGCUCUAAUUCAGGAUGAUUGUGGAUGCAGGGCCAUUCCCGGCUGGCUGGGGCAUGCUUUCAGAGCGCUGCAGGGCCCCGCUGUUCCUUUAUUAUCAUAAGCAGAUUAGAGGUAGCGGGGAACACACUCAGAUGCAGAUAGCAGCCGAGCGGCCCAUUUCAACCUUGCAUUAUAAUGGACCGAGCUGCAUGUGUCGCCUCUCGCAGCCUAUUAAGCACAAGAUGAAUCUUAUGUAAGGUUGCCGGGGCCCGCAUAAUGAGAGCGCGGGGGCUCCGCUCCUCCAUUUAAUAUCGAAUGACUAAAACAAAAUAAUAAGGGCUGAUCUAUUCGCUUUCAAUUAUGAUUUAAUCUAGGAAAGCUAAAUUAAAUUAUUUCAGGUGUGUGGAGAUCC